This is a long non-coding RNA of Oncorhynchus nerka (sockeye salmon), 2778 nucleotides long. RefSeq lists it as uncharacterized. The transcript has 3 exons. The record is from RefSeq and is a predicted model, not a curated record. Lineage: Eukaryota; Metazoa; Chordata; Actinopteri; Salmoniformes; Salmonidae.
UUUAAUACAUAAUUUCCUGUUUACUUCCUAUCUUUCAGACGCAACUCUUACUGGCAGCGGUAGAGGAAGAGGGACAACCGGAGGAGGGCAGGAGAGAGAUGGCAGAGACCCUGCUAUCUGCCCUGACAGACAGACAGCAGCACAGACAGACCUGGAGAGACAGGUGCCAUUCCAGCCUGGCCCAGACCCUGCCCCCAGAAGAGGCCCCCGUUGACCGGCCGUUUUGGGCCGACGACGACCCCAGCAUGCCUCUGCCCUUUGACCUAGCUGACAUCAUCAACAGGGUGGAGUCACUCCUCUGGAGGAUGUGACGGAUGGGACACAAAGUAAAGAGAAGGAGAAAGAGAGCGAGAGAGUCACCCCGUCAUCUGAACAGCCUCUAUCGUGAGGACAGACGACAGAGGAGGAGAACAGGACCUACCAACGUCCUCCAAUGGGGGUACACUUCCCCACCCUGGACCCCUCCCAACCCUGUACCUCGCCCCACCCCGCCCAAACCAGUCUCAUCUAGCUUUGCUUGGAUUGACUCAACAUGGCUGCAACAUGAGGAUGGAACCCUGAGUAGUGCUUUGCUAACAUGCUAUAGCUGGUAUUGGAACUAGUCUCACAAUGAUAACGUGGAUAACCUGCAGAAUUAAAACUGAAUGUGUAGGAAUGUAUUAUUUCAAUGAAUGUUCUGUUUCUUUUCUACAUUUAGCCAGCUUUGUGUAUGGAUAUGACAAAUAGUCAUACAGAUGUAGGAUCUUAAUUUGACCAGUUUCUCACAGCAGCAAAAUUAUCCUGCAGCAACAGGAAAUGUGAAUUAUUGGGUGGAUUAUAAUUAAUGGACAUUUUUAAAACAUAAAUCCUUUUAAACCUUUUAAACCUUGAAUGCACUCCCAAGUUUGCAUUUCCUUGCUGCUCAGGAAAUUUCCUGCAACAACAGGGUGAUCAUAUUAAAAUCCUAUAUCUGUAGUACAUUUAUACUUUCUGUUUCUAACUCAAUGUUGUUCUAAUUAUGGUGUUGUAUCCUAAUGUCCAUUCACUUCCUGUAUUUCACAACUUACUUGUUCAGAAUCUCACAGGGCAUGACUUUGUGUUACUAAGAUGUGACUGAAAGUGUUUGUUUGUGUGUGUGUGUGUGUGUGUGUGUGUGUGUGUGUGUGUGUGUGUGUGUGUGUGUGUGUGUGUGAGAAUGUGUGCCUCUGCAGUAUUUACAGUAUGUGAAAUUGUAUGUGUGUGAAGCAGUAUGAUAGGGCCUGUAGCAGGGCUGGGAGAUGUUUGUGUUAGAGAGGAAAGGACACAAGUCUAGUAGGCCUAUAGGUUCUAGUAGGCAUGUCUCUGUCUGCAGGCCUGUCUCUAGUCUGCUCUGUAGGGCUGAAAGGCAGCCCAGGCAGACAGCUACUGUAGGACUGAAAGGCAGCCCAGACAGACAGCAACUGUAGGACUGAAAGGCAUCCCAGGCAGACAGCUACUGUAGGACUGAAAGGCAGCCCAGGCAGACAGCUACUGUAGGACUGAAAGGCAGCCCAGGCAGUCAGUUUAUGUAGGACUGAAAGGCAGCCCCGACAGACAGCUACUGUAGGACUGAAAGGCAGCCCAGACAUACAGUUUAUGUAGGACUGAAAGGCAGCCCCGACAGACAGCUACUGUAGGACUGAAAGGCAGCCCAGACAGACAGUUUAUGUAGGACUGAAAGGCAGCCCAGACAGACAGUUUAUGUAGGGCUGAAAGGCAGCCCAGACAGACAGUUUAUGUAGGACUGAAAGGCAGCCCAGACAGACAGCCACUAUACUGUAGGGCUGAUAGAAGGAUCCCCAUCCCAACUGCCACUCUGUCUUCAUAAUUGCAGCUGUUCAAUGGCUUUUAAUUAGUCUUAAAGCGUGUAGAGCACCACUUUCCCUGUAUCGCUGCAGGCCAGAAACUCAGAUCCACGGCUUCUGACAAAACCAACCAGGAAAGAGAAGCUAUGGGUGAAAUGUGAUGGUUGUCAAAGCCAAGCAGAGCAGCCUUCUUUUUAUUUCUUAGUAACACUUUAUUUCCGGGAUCAUCAACUAGAUUCAGCCGCCGGUCGAAUUACAAAUCAUUUUUAGACUGCAAAUUGACCCCAAGAAGCCUAAAAAGAUCAUAUUUGACUAAAACAUAAUAAUUUCAAACCUUGCUCACGUUUGUACACGAUUACUUGUCUCACUAUUAUGCGUGGGAGUACUUGGGAAUUAUAUAUAUAUAUAUUUUUUAUUUUAUUAUUAUUUUGCUUCGAAAACUUGGGGGCCAAAUAAAACCACCCGCGGGCCGCAGUUGGGCAGCUGCUUUCUUUGACCUGGCCACCAUAAUGCCUUUAUAACAAUGUUGUAAACAUGUCAUAAUGCUUCAUAGCUUGUGUCAUUGUGAUAACUGAAGCUUUAUGGCAUGUGUUGACAAGUUAUGACUUGUGGUAUGAAGCUUUAUAACAUGGUUAGGACAUUUUUUUGAAGGUUAUGAAGAGAUCAUGGUGUUUAGUUCAAAUUAAGUCUUACCAAUUUCUUUAUCUAUAUAUAUCAACAGGAAGUAGAACUGAUAUGUAGUGUUAAAAAUCCACUUCUCAAAGUUUUUUACUUCUGGAAGUUUUUCCAAUUACAAAUGUUAACGGUUGCCAAAAUGUUGUUCUUUUGCUUAAUCUUUUUGUAUGUUGACUGAGGUUGAGAUUGUAGACUGGCUGUAUUGUUGAGUUGAACAACUAUGUGCUCUCUGUUUCACAGCUCAGCUUGUCUGUCUGAAGCUUUAGGAAGGCAGUAAAUAAACCAAGACAGUGUUUUAUGA